GACGAGGUGGCCGAGUGGUUAAUGCGAUGGUCUGCUAUUCCAUUGUGCUCUGCACGCGUGGGUUCGAAUCCAAUCCUCGUCG
Ciona savignyi (Pacific transparent sea squirt) is the source of this 82-nucleotide non-coding RNA. Lineage: Eukaryota; Metazoa; Chordata; Ascidiacea; Phlebobranchia; Cionidae. The record is from Rfam.